Molecule: ribosomal RNA, 451 nt
Filed under: uncultured Ochrobactrum sp.
Lineage: Bacteria; Pseudomonadati; Pseudomonadota; Alphaproteobacteria; Hyphomicrobiales; Brucellaceae
Description: partial 16S ribosomal RNA
Source: RNAcentral
CACGAAGUUAGCCGGGGCUUCUUCUCCGGUUACCGUCAUUAUCUUCACCGGUGAAAGAGCUUUACAACCCUAGGGCCCUCAUCACUCACGCGGCAUGGCUGGAUCAGGCUUGCGCCCAUUGUCCAAUAUUCCCCACUGCUGCCUCCCGUAGGAGUCUGGGCCGUGUCUCAGUCCCAGUGUGGCUGAUCAUCCUCUCAGACCAGCUAUGGAUCGUCGCCUUGGUGGGCCUUUACCCCACAACUAGCUAAUCCAACGCGGGCUCAUCCUUUGCCGAUAAAUCUUUCUCCCGAAGGACACAUACGGUAUUAGCACAAGUUUCCCUGAGUUAUUCCGUAGCAAAAGGUAGAUUCCCACGCGUUACUCACCCGUCUGCCGCUCCCCUUGCGGGGCGCUCGACUUGCAUGUGUUAAGCCUGCCGCCAGCCGUUCGUUCUGAGCCAGGAUCAAACUCU